Molecule: non-coding RNA, 170 nt
Filed under: Brassica oleracea var. oleracea
Lineage: Eukaryota; Viridiplantae; Streptophyta; Magnoliopsida; Brassicales; Brassicaceae
Source: RNAcentral
GUCGAGCUUGGCAACGCAAGCUUAUGAUCCGAGUGGAGACAAUAAGGUGAUGGGAAUGUUUUGGUGAGAUCUACCUACUGGCCCAAGUUUAAUGGAGUUCGGUGGGCUACAAUGGCCUGGCGUUAGUCUCCGGCCGAAGGAAUCUGGGUUUAAAUUGGACCAUCACUUUU